Long non-coding RNA from Ricinus communis (castor bean), 1108 nucleotides. RefSeq lists it as uncharacterized. The transcript is spliced from 2 exons. The record is from RefSeq and is a predicted model, not a curated record. NCBI's taxonomy places the organism in Eukaryota, Viridiplantae, Streptophyta, Magnoliopsida, Malpighiales, Euphorbiaceae.
CAUAAACACCGAUUAUUUCAUUCCUCCUGUGUUUCUUUAUAUUUUUUAUUUUUAGAAGCAUGAUUAGGGUUUUAAUCUUUGAUAAAUAUGAUUAGAUUAGGUUUUUUUAGAUUUUGAAUAUGAUAUUAAGAACCAUAAAACCGCAGUUAGAUUAAUUGAUAAAGGCCUAAUAGCUCUUUCUUUUAUGUCCUUUUUAUGAAAAAUAAAAUAAAAUAAAUAAAUAAAUAAAACCUCUGAAAUCAAUUAAUUCAAAGAAUGUGUUUGGAUUCCAAACAAGAGAAAGAAUAAAUGAUUGCUUUUGAGCAGUUGAGCCUUACACAUGCCUAUUCUUGUGCUUGCUUAUUGAUCCGAACCAAAAAAAUACCGAUCUGUAGGAGCGAACAGUUCUUGAUACAACCUGCAAAAGACAAUUAUUCAUUACAGUAUCAAGCAUGGUGCCUAAAAAACUACUCUGAUGGUUAAGUUAGUAUGUGAAAGAGACGAGAAACUCAAUUGCUUAAGCAAGUGAAAAUGGCAUUACCUUAUAUUAGGUGUUCCCCAUUACUAUUUAUAGUGAUUGCAUUAAAUGAUAAAUACCUAGAAAUUAGGUCUUUAAGAUGAGAUAAGAUAUGAUAAGAUGAAAGAUUCUAUUUUCUAGGGGGUGAUAAGGUAGAGAGUGAACACACCAAUCCCACACUAGUAUUUUCAUAUUGAUCUCUAAGUUUCUGGGGCGAGGUAAUAUACGGCGACCUAUGCUCGCAUUGGGCAAUCUGUUCAAAUGAGCACGCAUCACUGCUCUCUCUUUCUCUAUCAUGGUUAUGUUGUUUCUUUAGAAGCUUGAGGCAUGGGUAGCCCUUGGAUACCCAUUUACUAAUACAUAUUACUGAUAUUGUUAUACUAGAGUGGUAGGGGUGACGGUAAAGGUGGGAAAGUGAUGUUUAGUGGUGGUUAUGAAGGCCAUGAAGAAAGCUGAGCUUGAUUCAUGCUUUUGAAGGAUGGAAAAAGCAAUGGUUGUAUCUACAUUCUUUCUUACCGUUUUAGUCUAAAAGAAAAAAAAAAUUCAUUAUUUUUUCUUUGUUUUCAUUGUGUUUAUCAUUAUAAUUAAGGGAUCAUUACUUUUUACCCUCGA